UACGCUAAUACCGCAUAAUGCUUUCAGUAGGGAUACUGGGAGAAGAAAACUCUGGUGCUUUGGGAGGGGUCUGCGUCCGAUUAGCUAGUUGGUGAGGUAAAGGCUCACCAAGGCGACGAUCGGUAGCUGGUCUGAGAGGACGAUCAGCCACACGGGAACUGAGACACGGUCCCGACUCCUACGGGGGGCAGCAGUGAGGAAUAUUGCCCAAUGGGGAAACCCUGAGGCAGCAACGCCGCGUGGAGGAAGAAGGUCUUUACGAUCGUAAACUUCUUUUGUGAGGGAAGAGGAAGGACGGUACCUCAUGAAUAAGUCACGGCUAACUACGUGCCAGCAGCCGCGGUAAUACGUAGGUGACGAGCGUUAUCCGGAAUUACUGGGCGUAAAGCGUACGCAGGCGGCAUGGUAAGUCUGACGUGAAAUCUCCUGGCUUAACUGGGAGAGGUCGUUGGAGACUGCUGUGCUUGAGACAAUGAGAGGGGUGCAGAAUUCCCCGGUGUAGUGGUGGAAUGCGUAGAUAUCGGGAG
This 527-nucleotide ribosomal RNA is filed under the name uncultured bacterium. RNAcentral's name for it is "bacterial SSU rRNA". It matches the Rfam family "Bacterial small subunit ribosomal RNA", at positions 159 to 703 of the family's 1533-position model. The record is from RNAcentral.